Molecule: ribosomal RNA, 253 nt
Filed under: uncultured bacterium
Lineage: Bacteria
Description: partial 16S ribosomal RNA
Rfam family: Bacterial small subunit ribosomal RNA
Source: RNAcentral
UACAGAGGGUGCAAGCGUUGUUCGGAAUUACUGGGCGUAAAGGGCUCGUAGGCGGCCAACUAAGUCAGACGUGAAAUCCCUCGGCUUAACCGGGGAACUGCGUCUGAUACUGGAUGGCUUGAAUCCGGGAGAGGGAUGCGGAAUUCCAGGUGUAGCGGUGAAAUGCGUAGAUAUCGUUUGGAACGCCAAAGGUGAAAACAGGUCGCUGGGAGUGUGCUGACGCUGAGACACGAAAGCCAGGGGAGCAAACGGG